ACUGCUCAGUAACACGUGGACAACCUGCCCUUAGGUUGGGUAUAAACCCGGGAAACUGGGUAUAAUACCCGAUAGGUCUCGAUUGUUGGAAUGCAUCGAGAUUUAAAGCUCCGGCGCCUAAGGAUGGGUCUGCGGCCUAUCAGGUAGUAGUGGGUGUAGCGUACCUACUAGCCUACGACGGGUACGGGUUGUGAGAGCAAGAGCCCGGAGAUGGAUUCUGAGACACGAAUCCAGGCCCUACGGGGUGCAGCAGGCGCGAAAACUUUACAAUGCUGGCAACAGCGAUAAGGGAACCUCGAGUGCCAGGUUACAAAUCUGGCUGUCGUGAUGCCUAAAAAGCAUUGCAUAGCAAGGGCCGGGCAAGACCGGUGCCAGCCGCCGCGGUAACACCGGCGGCUCGAGUGGUAACCGUUAUUAUUGGGUCUAAAGGGUCUGUAGCCGGCCGGAUAAGUCUCUUGAGAAAUCUGGCAGCUUAACUGUCAGGCUUUCAGGAGAUACUGUCUGGCUCGAGGCCGGGAGAGGUGAGAGGUACUUCAGGGGUAGGGGUGAAAUCUUGUAAUCCUUGAAGGACCACCAGUGGCGAAGGCGUCUCACCAGAACGGACCUGACGGCAAGGGACGAAAGCUAGGGGCACGAACCGGAUUAGAUACCCGGGUAGUCCUAGCCGUAAACGAUACUCGCUAGGUGUCGGCCACGGUGCGACCGUUGUCGGUGCCGUAGGGAAGCCGUGAAGCGAGCCACCUGGGAAGUACGGCCGCAAGGCUGAAACUUAAAGGAAUUGGCGGGGGAGCAC
This 793-nucleotide ribosomal RNA is filed under the name uncultured archaeon. Its description in RNAcentral is "bacterial SSU rRNA". It matches the Rfam family "Archaeal small subunit ribosomal RNA", at positions 85 to 879 of the family's 1478-position model. The record is from RNAcentral.